GGGGUUGUAGCUCAGUUGGUUAGAGUGCCGGCCUGUCACGCCGGAGGUCGCGGGUUCGAGCCCCGUCAACCCCGCCA
This 77-nucleotide transfer RNA is filed under the name Geobacter sp. RNAcentral describes it as "tRNA-Asp". It matches the Rfam family "tRNA". From Rfam's summary of the family: Transfer RNA (tRNA) molecules are approximately 80 nucleotides in length. Lineage: Bacteria; Pseudomonadati; Thermodesulfobacteriota; Desulfuromonadia; Geobacterales; Geobacteraceae. The record is from RNAcentral. RNAcentral also lists the same sequence under 6 other names.